UCCGAGUUGACCCCGGCAGUCUCCCAUGAGUCCCCAACCAAAUGCUGGCAACACAGGACGAGGGUUGCGCUCGUUGCGGGACUUAACCCAACAUCUCACGACACGAGCUGACGACAGCCAUGCAGCACCUGUCCUGGUGUCCCGAAGGAGGCCCCUGCUUUCACAGGGGUUUCACCAGGAUGUCAAGUCCAGGUAAGGUUCUUCGCGUUGCUUCGAAUUAAACCACAUGCUCCUCCGCUUGUGCAGGCCCCCGUCAAUUUCUUUGAGUUUUAACCUUGCGGCCGUACUCCCCAGGCGGAUGACUUAAUGCGUUAGCUGCGCCACCGAAGGCCGAAGGCCCCCGACAGCUAGUCAUCAUCGUUUACGGCGUGGACUAA
This 377-nucleotide unclassified non-coding RNA is filed under the name uncultured bacterium. RNAcentral describes it as "contains 16S-23S intergenic spacer region". The record is from RNAcentral.